This 385-nucleotide long non-coding RNA is filed under the name Brassica napus (rape). RNAcentral's name for it is "long non-coding RNA (BNAP_LNC000176)". The record is from RNAcentral. Lineage: Eukaryota; Viridiplantae; Streptophyta; Magnoliopsida; Brassicales; Brassicaceae.
AAUUUGAGGAAACUAGCAAAUCUCGAAUUGAGUAUGAUGAACACAGAAAAAGGAAACUAUUGAUUGAGUGAGUAGUCUUGUUCAUGUCAGAGAAAUUUUUUUUUUUUUUUUAAAAACUUUGACUUUGAGCUCAAUGGGUCAAUCAAACCAAUUACAUUUCAAAUUGUGCAUUAACGUCACAAUCGUUCAAGAUUUUUUUAUCUCUUGGCAAUGAGAGAGUCAACAAUCUAAAUGUACAAAGAAACCUUUGAAUGCAUAUUAAUUUGCAAGGUCAUUGUAGAAAGUGUCUGAAAACACAAAGAAAAAUUCUUUGUACAUUUAUAUUGUUAACUCUCUCAUUGCCAAGAAAAAUCCUUUGGACACAUAAUGAAGUUAAGAGUCUUAA